Molecule: long non-coding RNA, 1741 nt
Filed under: Lupinus angustifolius (narrow-leaved blue lupine)
Lineage: Eukaryota; Viridiplantae; Streptophyta; Magnoliopsida; Fabales; Fabaceae
Description: long non-coding RNA (LANG_LNC003272)
Rfam family: Small nucleolar RNA Z43 (bases 236-332)
Source: RNAcentral
UUAUUUAUUAGUAUCUUGAGACGACUCUAUGGCCUCCUUACCCAAAACCCUACCUCUCUUUCCCCCUAUUUAUAACCACCAUCCACCUCUCUCUUGCUUCACACUUCUCACUUUUCUGUAGAGGCGCUGCUAGGGUUUGCUUCUUCUUCCCUGUUCUAAUUUUAUUCAUCUCUGCUUAUAUUUCUUCCCAUCAUUAGUUUUUUAUGCUAUUGUUUUAUGUAAACAAUUCAAUUAGGGACGAUGAUGAUUUGUAGUGAAAGGUCUCGUUCGUCGUAAUUGGCUUUUUUGCCUUGCCGACCAUUCUGCUAUAUCACCACCCAUAUUCCGAGUCCCUUUUAUUUCCUAUCAAUAUUUCCUUUUUACUUUAUUUCAUGUCGUUUUGUUACUGUUAUUUAUCUUUUUUUCUUUCUAAAUUGUUGAUCUGCCUAUGAUUAAAUCUUAUAAAAGACAAGCAUAUGUCUGAAAUAACUCAUGUAGAUAAAUCUAAUCUUACUAUGAGGCCGAUUAUCUCUUUUUUAUUUGCAAAAUAUUUUUAUUUACUUAGAUUUUUUGAAAAUUUCUUUAUUUGAGAGGUCAAUUUGAUUUACGUUGCUUUGUUCUGUUUUUAUUUUUUGGCGAAUUUUUCAUCUAGUCAAACAAUAGUUGAUGUAGAAGGGUAAAAUGAUGAUUUUAAAUGCAUAGUUCAGAUGAUUUAUCUGUGAUUAUUAAUAUUAAAUAGUCUUUCGCUCCUAUCUGAUGAACCCUUCAUAUAUUCUAAAUUACUCUUUGAACUUCUUUUCUAAUCAUUCUAUAGUUAUGUUUGAUCGUUUUUUCAAUGUUCUGUUCUAUUCUUUUUAAUAAUUAAAUCGUUGUGUAUUUAAUUUGUACCAUUGGGAUGUUUGGGACUUUUCUUAUGUCCCUUUAGCAAUGUCUGUGUGCUUUUGGAAUGAAUAAGUCCCUUAUAUUUAUUCACCUGAUCACUUUGUCAGCUUUGUUUUUUCAAUAUAUUGCUGAUCAUUAUAGGGUGGAAUAUAUAUUAUAUAUUAUUUUCAGAUAUUAGGUAUUUAUCUGUGUUGUGUUAUUGUUAAUGGCCAAUGAUGAUAAGAUAAAGGCUUGUUUCUCAAAACAUUCGCAGUGGCCGACCAAGAGCUUUCGCCUUCGCCAGGCUUGAGAGCUAAUGCUGUUUUAUCCUUCCUUGGAUGUCUGAGGCCAAACGUAACUUGUUUCUAUUUUUUUUUGUGUAAAUCUGAUUUUAAUUUUCAGGUUUUGGAAGAGCUUUUUUAUUGCCUGAGCUUGAUUAUCCAAGGAAGACUCAUGCGUGAUAAACGGCAAACAAGCUUUGUUUUCAAGCGGAACAAUUGAUUUUGUUUAGGUUUGAAGUGCAGUAGUUUUAGUCUGUAAUGCAGUUAGACUUGAGAAUUGCCUAAAGGGACCACAAAAAUUAACAUCUUUUCCAACUGAAUUUUCAUUCUGUUUGAAAUUCUUGAGAUAUGUGAGGGUUUUAUCCUAUGCUUUUCAGAAACAAAACUCUUAUUAUAGGAUUUUUAUCCCAAAUUGUUAACUUUUUUUGUUGCUAUUAUCACUUAGCAAUAUUAUGUCAUUGAUGAAUGUUGUAGGUUAGUUUUUAAGGUUAGGAACUGGAAUGCCAAACUUAAGAGUGUGAUAUCCUUUCCCCAGCAAUAAUGAGGAUGCUAUUCUACAUGAUGCUAUGCAAAUGUUAUUCAUAUCUAAGUUUUAUGAUAACCAACUACUAACUAGACGC